RNAcentral lists this ribosomal RNA (424 nucleotides) under uncultured prokaryote. Its description in RNAcentral is "bacterial SSU rRNA". It matches the Rfam family "Bacterial small subunit ribosomal RNA", at positions 355 to 796 of the family's 1533-position model. The record is from RNAcentral.
UGGGGAAUAUUGGACAAUGGGGGCAACCCUGAUCCAGCCAUGCCGCGUGAGUGAUGAAGGCCCUAGGGUUGUAAAGCUCUUUCAACGGUGAAGAUAAUGACGGUAGCCGUAGAAGAAGCCCCGGCUAACUUCGUGCCAGCAGCCGCGGUAAUACGAAGGGGGCUAGCGUUGUUCGGAAUAACUGGGCGUAAAGCGCACGUAGGCGGACAUUUAAGUCAGAGGUGAAAUCCCAGGGCUCAACCCUGGAACUGCCUUUGAUACUGGGUGUCUUGAGUCCGAGAGAGGUGAGUGGAAUUCCGAGUGUAGAGGUGAAAUUCGUAGAUAUUCGGAGGAACACCAGUGGCGAAGGCGGCUCACUGGCUCGGUACUGACGCUGAGGUGCGAAAGCGUGGGGAGCAAACAGGAUUAGAUACCCCCGUAGUCC